GCCUGAUGGAGCAACGCCGCGUGAGUGAAGAAGGAUUUCGGUUCGUAAAACUCUGUUGUAAGGGAAGAACAAGUACAGUAGUAACUGGCUGUACCUUGACGGUACCUUAUUAGAAAGCCACGGCUAACUACGUGCCAGCAGCCGCGGUAAUACGUAGGUGGCAAGCGUUGUCCGGAAUAAUUGGGCGUAAAGCGCGCGCAGGUGGUUUCUUAAGUCUGAUGUGAAAGCCCACGGCUCAACCGUGGAGGGUCAUUGGAAACUGGGAGACUUGAGUGCAGAAGAGGAUAGUGGAAUUCCAAGUGUAGCGGUGAAAUGCGUAGAGAUUUGGAGGAACACCAGUGGCGAAGGCGACUAUCUGGUCUGUAACUGACACUGAGGCGCGAAAGCGUGGGGAGCAAACAGGAUUAGAUACCCUGGUAGUCCACGCCGUAAACGAUGAGUGCUAAGUGUUAGGGGGUUUCCGCCCCUUAGUGCUGCAGCUAACGCAUUAAGCACUCCGCCUGGGGAGUACGGGUCGCAAGACUGAAACUCAAAGGAAUUG
RNAcentral lists this ribosomal RNA (541 nucleotides) under uncultured Lysinibacillus sp. Its description in RNAcentral is "bacterial SSU rRNA". It matches the Rfam family "Bacterial small subunit ribosomal RNA", at positions 381 to 912 of the family's 1533-position model. The record is from RNAcentral. Lineage: Bacteria; Bacillati; Bacillota; Bacilli; Caryophanales; Bacillaceae.